UUCUGAUCUUCACAAACCUUCACCGCUGGAAUCUCGUCCCCGCUGCUGCUGCUACUGCUGCUCAUCCUUCACGAACCUUCACCGCUGGAAUCGUGUCCCCGCUGCUGCUGCCGCCGCUGCUCAUCCUUCAUGAACCGUCACCGCUGGAAUCGCGUCCCCGCUGCUGCUCAUCCUUCACGAACCUUCACCACUGGAAUCUCGUCCCCGCUGCUGCUGCUGCUGCCAUCUGACUGCUGUUGUGAGCUGCUGCUGGUAACUUGAGCUGCUUGAGCUUGAGCUGUUUUUGCAGAGAACUUGAGCUGCUGCUGGCGUGAAAAGGUAAUCAAACAAACAGCUGCUGCUGCUGGCGUUAAAAGCUCCCUUUGUUUUUACUGGUGCCAUUGGUUUUAACCAAUUUCCACGAUUCUUCUUCGACUCCAAUUUGGAGAUAACAGUGCAAUUUGGUGAUGAACAUAAAUAAAAUCAAAACUCAAGUUUCGAUUAAUUUUAUUUAAUUUUAAUUUGUAAAGUGCCACAUAAUUCAACUUGUGAUUGUGUUUUGGCUUUUCACGUGCUAUUGACACGCUUUCUUAGAAAUUUGUUUCGUUUUCUUUGAAGGCAAAUUUGAAGAACACGUUGAUUAAUAUGUUUUGCCUUUUUUAUUGUCUUCACAGCAGAAUAAACAAAUGGCCGUUUGCAGCAUGCAGUUUUAAGCUUGAAAUAAACUUGUGCUUAUAAAAUUAUUCCCCUGGUGAUCUUUGUCCUUUUUAUAACUUUGGGAAUGGGAAAAUGAAUUUUUGUAGUGUCUGGUUUCCAUGUGCAUGUGGAUUUCCCAUUUAGUUCCUCUGAUUGUUGUGGUAUGUUCAGAAUUUUGUAAAAACACUGUGAUUGUUGGAUCUUUAUAGUAUGUAUUCUUGUUUGCAGUUGUUUGACUUGUUUCUACGGAUAGUUUCAUUGUUUUCUAACUUACUCUGUACCGUUUAAACUUAUUUAAAUAUUUGUUCCAUGAUUGAGUUUUUCUCUUUUAUUAGUUGCUUAAUUCCUUAGAUUAUGUUUCUUUUAAAAGACUUUUUGCUUAUUUAUUUUGAUUUGAACUUGUUAUUUAAAC
Molecule: long non-coding RNA, 1087 nt
Filed under: Citrus sinensis (sweet orange)
Lineage: Eukaryota; Viridiplantae; Streptophyta; Magnoliopsida; Sapindales; Rutaceae
Description: long non-coding RNA (CSIN_LNC000260)
Source: RNAcentral